UACGUAAGGGGCAAGCGUUGUCCGGAAUCACUGGGCGUAAAGCGCGCGUAGGCGGUUUGGUAAGUCGGGUGUGAAAUCCUCGGGCUUAACCCGAGAACUGCGCCCGAAACUGCCUCACUGGAGGGACGGAGAGGUGCAUGGAAUUCCCGGUGUAGGGGUGAAAUCCAUAGAGAUCGGGAGGAGCACCAAUGGCGAAGGCAGUGCACUGGACGUCACCUGACGCUGAGGUGCGAAAGCGUGGGGAGCGAACGGG
This 253-nucleotide ribosomal RNA is filed under the name uncultured bacterium. RNAcentral describes it as "partial 16S ribosomal RNA". It matches the Rfam family "Bacterial small subunit ribosomal RNA", at positions 524 to 776 of the family's 1533-position model. The record is from RNAcentral.